GCCUGGUUAGCUCAGUUGGUAGAGCAUGUGACUCUUAAUCUCAGGGUUGUGGGUUCAGGCCCUGAGUUGGGCG
RNAcentral lists this transfer RNA (73 nucleotides) under Cricetulus griseus (Chinese hamster). It matches the Rfam family "tRNA". From Rfam's summary of the family: Transfer RNA (tRNA) molecules are approximately 80 nucleotides in length. Their secondary structure includes four short double-helical elements and three loops (D, anti-codon, and T loops). Further hydrogen bonds mediate the characteristic L-shaped molecular structure. tRNAs have two regions of fundamental functional importance: the anti-codon, which is responsible for specific mRNA codon recognition, and the 3' end, to which the tRNAs corresponding amino acid is attached (by aminoacyl-tRNA synthetases). tRNAs cope with the degeneracy of the genetic code in two manners: having more than one tRNA (with a specific anti-codon) for a particular amino acid; and 'wobble' base-pairing, i.e. permitting non-standard base-pairing at the 3rd anti-codon position. The record is from Rfam by way of RNAcentral. Lineage: Eukaryota; Metazoa; Chordata; Mammalia; Rodentia; Cricetidae.